UAAAUUAAUGUUAGGGUUACUUUAUUCCCCUACAACCUUAAAAAACACAUUUUGCCUCCGAAAAGGUCCUCAUAUCCCUCGCAGACCCUUAAAUUGGUGCGAGAUAUAUGUUAGGGUUAGGGUUAGGUUUUGAAGAGCUUGUUUGCUCAGUAUACAUUCGCUGUGAUUUAGCAUUUCUAUUCAAGGAUUUCAUUUGAUUCGCUGUGUCUGAAGCGCAGGGUUCAGAGGGUUUCUUGUGCGUUUGUCAAUAUUCUUCGAAUGAUGCGGAGAUGGGCGAAAUUUGAUGGUCCACUUCUUGCUUUGCCACAGUGGCUGUAGCUACACUAAUCAUUUCAUAGAAGCAUAUGGCCGUGCGCGAUUUCUCAUUUGCUCAUGGUUACCGCGUUUCUUACAUUUUUAGUUUAACUUUCUUUUCACAUUGAAGGACAGAGUGGAGAGGCAGAUUUUUUUCUGCUGCCUUCCCUUAGUUAUCCUUCGGACAGAGAAAAAUUUGUUAGCCUUGUGAAAACAUUGCUAACAUGUCACUAUCCAAGCAGACCGUUUAUCUCAUUACAUUGUGGUUGGUCUGUGUCAAAUGGUGCCCACAUUUUAUAUUUCCUUUGAUAAAUCCUCAGGGGUGGGAUCGCAGUGAUUCAAUCGUAUUUUAGGGUUACUUUCGAAUUUUGUUUUUUAACGUGUUCUUGUAUUUUGGAUCUUACACAAUUUAGUGCUGCAUGGUUGAGGUAAUGGAUCGAUUUGCAUUUUUGCCUUCAAUUUUUAACAUAGCAUUUUCUUGUAAUUUAGCUGUUUUCCCAACCUGCUGGAUAACCUAGUUGUAUGUGGUAUCUGAUGUGAAUCUUUCUCAUCAGAUCUAAAGAAAUUAUAAAACUGCGUGCACCCAAAAUGUUGCAUAGAAAUUAUUUUCAUUCAUUUAUGCAAGCUAGAGCUACAUAUGAGUUGCCAUUUGGCACUCCUAAUCACCGAAAUUCAUCCAAUGUGAUAGGAAACCAAAAUUAGCCUUAUUUUUAUCAGUCUCGCAAUUUCCAGGCCAGCGGAUUCAGUGCCAUAAAUAUAAAUGAUGGAUCAUUAUUCUGA
Molecule: long non-coding RNA, 1074 nt
Organism: Cryptomeria japonica (Japanese cedar)
Lineage: Eukaryota; Viridiplantae; Streptophyta; Pinopsida; Cupressales; Cupressaceae
Exons: 2
Source: RefSeq, a predicted model, not a curated record